UCAGGCUUCAGGAAGACGGAGCGACUGCAGCUGGUUCGGUUUUACGCAGAUGAUGCUGCAGAUUGACGUCUGUGGAUGAGCUGGAGGCCCGGCGCCGUUUUGACUCCAGGACGCUGCUGGAAGUCCACCUGAGGCUCCGCCUCCUUCAGAGAACGAGCAGUUGCGGGGAGGAAGGAGACGCUCGCCGAACUUCAUCUGCGAGCAGAGCUCCCUUCAUGCUCCGGCAGCUCAGAAAAUACUCUGAAUGUAAAGAAGUCCAUCCGGCGGCUGUCCUCCGCCGCUCAUCAGGCGCUCUCGAGGCGUCUCCGUUCUCUCCACAAGCCUGUGGUUUUGUUUUUGAGCAGCGCCCGCGCGUGUCACGCCGCUGCUGUGAUCCGGCGUAUCGGCGUGCGUUCACUCCGGUGGAUUUGCGGCGCCGGAGCGACACUGAAACCUUCUGAAGCCGUCGGCCUCGGUAUCUGCUCGGCGCAGAAACGAGCGAGCCGCGGUGUUCAGGCUCCACGUGACCCCGGCGACCCGGCUUUUCCGUGGCGUGGUGCGCGCACCGACACACAAACGGCGAGUUCCUCUCCGAGGUUUGUAACAAGAAAAGCAGCUGCAGGGAAGAAGCAAACUCCUGAACUUUAGCCUGAAACUCAGACGCCGUGACCUCAGCUCUUAUCGCGGCCAAACAGGAAGCGCUUUUUAUUAAAGAUUAUUACAGCUGAAAAUCCGUUUCUGUGUGAGGUUCAAAGGUCGCCUCCCUAAAUCAGGUUGAGCAGGAUAUGAUGGUGACGGAUGAUUCUGAUCUGCCGCUAAAGCUUUAAAGCUGCCUCUCAGUCUGUGACCGAGCCGCUCUGAUCAGACUGCUGAUGGCGUCCGGCGAGGACGCCGAUAAAGCGCUUUCAUUCAACCGUCACCGAGCAGCAGGGAGGAUGGUAAACGGGAGCAGUUUCCACGCUCUGUUGGCUCUGACGGUCCGUUUACACCAGCCUGACGGUCUGUGAGCUUUAAAUGCAGAUAAAUAAAGGUAAACUUGUCAAAAUGUCUGUCCAUCUGUCUGUGUUUCAGCUCGUCGUAGUUAG
RNAcentral lists this long non-coding RNA (1064 nucleotides) under Oryzias javanicus (javanese ricefish). RNAcentral describes it as "lncRNA (ENSOJAG00000023261.1)". Lineage: Eukaryota; Metazoa; Chordata; Actinopteri; Beloniformes; Adrianichthyidae. The record is from RNAcentral.